This is a long non-coding RNA of Erpetoichthys calabaricus (reedfish), 653 nucleotides long. RefSeq lists it as uncharacterized. The record is from RefSeq and is a predicted model, not a curated record. Lineage: Eukaryota; Metazoa; Chordata; Cladistia; Polypteriformes; Polypteridae. The transcript has 2 exons.
UAAAAGAAGUGGUGAGGCGGCCUUCUGCUGUUAUGCACCUAAAAUCUGGAAUAGCUUGCCAAUAGGAAUUUGCCAGGCUAAUACAGUGGAGCACUUUAAGAAACUGCUGAAAACACAUUACUUUAACAUAGCCUUCUCAUAACUUCACUUUAAUUUAAUCCUGAUACUCUGUAUAUCCAAUUCAUUAUAAUAACUAUUCAUGGUGGCUCUAAAAUCCAUACUAACCCCUACUCUCUCUUCUGUUUCUUUUUCCGGUUUCUUUGUGGUGGCGCAUCUACUCAAAGCACUGUGAUGUUCCAACAUUGAUGGAUUAAAAGCCAGAAAUCUGCAUGACCAUCAUCAUCAAGUCCUUCCGUGAGAACCUUAAAUACAAAGAGGACUAUUUCAUUUAUGUUAGGUAGAAUGCCCAGAGGGGACUGGGCGGUCUCGUGGCCUGGAACCCCUGCAGAUUUUAUUUUUUUCUCCAGCCGUCUGGAUUUUUUUUUUUUUUUUUUUGCUGUCCCCCCUGGCCAUUGGACCUUACUCUUAUUCUAUGUUAACUAACGUUGUCUUAUUUUAAUUUCUUAUUUUGUCUUUUAUUUUUCUUUUCUUCAUUAUGUAAAGCACUUUGAGCUACUUUUUGUAUGAAAAUGUGCUAUAUAAAUAAAUGUUGU